Molecule: ribosomal RNA, 503 nt
Filed under: uncultured bacterium
Lineage: Bacteria
Description: partial 16S ribosomal RNA
Rfam family: Bacterial small subunit ribosomal RNA
Source: RNAcentral
AUUGAACGCUGGCGGAAUGCUUAACACAUGCAAGUCGAGCGGGGUGAUGGUGCUUGCACUAUCACUUAGCGGCGGACGGGUGAGUAAUGCUUAGGAAUCUGCCUAUUAGUGGGGGACAACAUCUCGAAAGGGAUGCUAAUACCGCAUACGUCCUACGAGAGAAAGCAGGGGAUCACUUGUGACCUUGCGCUAAUAGAUGAGCCUAAGUCGGAUUAGCUAGUUGGUGGGGUAAAGGCCUACCAAGGCGACGAGCUGUAGCGGGUCUGAGAGGAUGAUCCGCCACACUGGGACUGAGACACGGCCCAGACUCCUACGGGAGGCAGCAGUGGGGAAUAUUGGACAUUGGGGGGAACCCUGAUCCAGCCAUGCCGCGUGUGUGAAGAAGGCCUUAUGGUUGUAAAGCACUUUAAGCGAGGAGGAGGCUCUUUUGGUUAAUACCCAAGAUGAGUGGACGUUACUCGCAGAAUAAGCACCGGCUAACUCUGUGCCAGCAGCCGCCGUAA